GGUCAAGUGAAGAAGCGCAUACGGUGGAUGCCUUGGCAGUCAGAGGCGAUGAAAGACGUGGUAGCCUGCGAAAAGCUUCGGGGAGUCGGCAAACAGACUUUGAUCCGGAGAUGUCUGAAUGGGGGGAACCCAGCCAUCAUAAGAUGGUUAUCUUGUACUGAAUACAUAGGUGCAAGAGGCGAACCAGGGGAACUGAAACAUCUAAGUACCCUGAGGAAAAGAAAUCAACCGAGAUUCCCUUAGUAGUGGCGAGCGAACGGGGACUAGCCCUUAAGUGGCUUUGAGAUUAGCGGAACGCUCUGGAAAGUGCGGCCAUAGUGGGUGAUAGCCCUGUACGCGAAAAUCUCUUAGUCAUGAAAUCGAGUAGGACGGAGCACGAGAAACUUUGUCUGAAUAUGGGGGGACCAUCCUCCAAGGCUAAAUACUACUGACUGACCGAUAGUGAACUAGUACCGUGAGGGAAAGGCGAAAAAGAACCCCGGAGAGGGGGAGUGAAAUAGAUCCUGAAACCGUAUGCGUACAAGCAGUGGGAGCAGACUUUGUUCUGUGACUGCGUACCUUUUGUAUAAUGGGUCAGCGACUUAUUUUCAGUGGCGAGCUUAACCGAAUAGGGGAGGCGUAGCGAAAGCGAGUCUUAAUAGGGCGUCUAGUCGCUGGGAAUAGACCCGAAACCGGGCGAUCUAUCCAUGGGCAGGUUGAAGGUUAGGUAACACUGACUGGAGGACCGAACCGACUACCGUUGAAAAGUUAGCGGAUGACCUGUGGAUCGGAGUGAAAGGCUAAUCAAGCUCGGAGAUAGCUGGUUCUCCUCGAAAGCUAUUUAGGUAGCGCCUCAUGUAUCACUGUAGGGGGGUAGAGCACUGUUUCGGCUAGGGGGUCAUCCCGACUUACCAAACCGAUGCAAACUCCGAAUACCUACAAGUGCCGAGCAUGGGAGACACACGGCGGGUGCUAACGUCCGUCGUGAAAAGGGAAACAACCCAGACCGUCAGCUAAGGUCCCAAAGUUAUGGUUAAGUGGGAAACGAUGUGGGAAGGCUUAGACAGCUAGGAGGUUGGCUUAGAAGCAGCCACCCUUUAAAGAAAGCGUAAUAGCUCACUAGUCGAGUCGGCCUGCGCGGAAGAUGUAACGGGGCUCAAACCAUACACCGAAGCUACGGGUAUCACGUAAGUGAUGCGGUAGAGGAGCGUUCUGUAAGCCUGUGAAGGUGAGUUGAGAAGCUUGCUGGAGGUAUCAGAAGUGCGAAUGCUGACAUGAGUAACGACAAUGGGUGUGAAAAACACCCACGCCGAAAGACCAAGGUUUCCUGCGCAACGUUAAUCGACGCAGGGUUAGUCGGUCCCUAAGGCGAGGCUGAAAAGCGUAGUCGAUGGAAAACAGGUUAAUAUUCCUGUACUUCUGGUUAUUGCGAUGGAGGGACGGAGAAGGCUAGGCCAGCUUGGCGUUGGUUGUCCAAGUUUAAGGUGGUAGGCUGGAAUCUUAGGUAAAUCCGGGAUUCUAAGGCCGAGAGCUGAUGACGAGUUGCCUUUAGGCGACGAAGUGGUUGAUGCCAUGCUUCCAAGAAAAGCUUCUAAGCUUCAGAUAACCAGGAACCGUACCCCAAACCGACACAGGUGGUUGGGUAGAGAAUACCAAGGCGCUUGAGAGAACUCGGGUGAAGGAACUAGGCAAAAUGGCACCGUAACUUCGGGAGAAGGUGCGCCGGUGAGGGUGAAGCACUUGCUGCGUAAGCCCACGCCGGUCGAAGAUACCAGGCCGCUGCGACUGUUUAUUAAAAACACAGCACUCUGCAAACACGAAAGUGGACGUAUAGGGUGUGACGCCUGCCCGGUGCCGGAAGGUUAAUUGAUGGGGUUAGCUAACGCGAAGCUCUUGAUCGAAGCCCCGGUAAACGGCGGCCGUAACUAUAACGGUCCUAAGGUAGCGAAAUUCCUUGUCGGGUAAGUUCCGACCUGCACGAAUGGCGUAACGAUGGCGGCGCUGUCUCCACCCGAGACUCAGUGAAAUUGAAAUCGCUGUGAAGAUGCAGUGUAUCCGCGGCUAGACGGAAAGACCCCGUGAACCUUUACUAUAGCUUUGCACUGGACUUUGAAUUUGCUUGUGUAGGAUAGGUGGGAGGCUUUGAAGCGUGGACGCCAGUUCGCGUGGAGCCAUCCUUGAAAUACCACCCUGGCAACUUUGAGGUUCUAACUCAGGUCCGUUAUCCGGAUCGAGGACAGUGUAUGGUGGGUAGUUUGACUGGGGCGGUCUCCUCCUAAAGAGUAACGGAGGAGUACGAAGGUGCGCUCAGACCGGUCGGAAAUCGGUCGUAGAGUAUAAAGGCAAAAGCGCGCUUGACUGCGAGACAGACACGUCGAGCAGGUACGAAAAGUAGGUCUUAGUGAUCCGGUGGUUCUGUAUGGAAGGGCCAUCGCUCAACGGAUAAAAGGUACUCCGGGGAUAACAGGCUGAUACCGCCCAAGAGUUCAUAUCGACGGCGGUGUUUGGCACCUCGAUGUCGGCUCAUCACAUCCUGGGGCUGAAGCCGGUCCCAAGGGUAUGGCUGUUCGCCAUUUAAAGUGGUACGCGAGCUGGGUUUAGAACGUCGUGAGACAGUUCGGUCCCCUAUCUGCCGUGGACGUUUGAGAUUUGAGAGGGGCUGCUCCUAGUACGAGAGGACCGGAGUGGACGAACCUCUGGUGUUCCGGUUGUCACGCCAGUGGCAUUGCCGGGUAGCUAUGUUCGGGAAAGAUAACCGCUGAAAGCAUCUAAGCGGGAAACUUGCCUCAAGAUGAGAUCUCACUGGAACCUUGAGUUCCCUGAAGGGCCGUCGAAGACUACGACGUUGAUAGGUUGGGUGUGUAAGCGCUGUGAGGCGUUGAGCUAACCAAUACUAAUUGCCCGUGAGGCUUGACCAU
Molecule: ribosomal RNA, 2897 nt
Filed under: Pseudomonas fluorescens
Lineage: Bacteria; Pseudomonadati; Pseudomonadota; Gammaproteobacteria; Pseudomonadales; Pseudomonadaceae
Description: 23S ribosomal RNA
Rfam family: Bacterial large subunit ribosomal RNA
Source: RNAcentral